This 406-nucleotide ribosomal RNA is filed under the name uncultured bacterium. RNAcentral's name for it is "partial 16S ribosomal RNA". It matches the Rfam family "Bacterial small subunit ribosomal RNA", at positions 30 to 526 of the family's 1533-position model. The record is from RNAcentral.
AUUGAACGCUGGCGGCAGGCCUAACACAUGCAAGUCGAACGAGUGGCGGACGGGUGAGUAAUGUCGGGGAAACGGCCUGAUGGAGGGGGAUAACUCCUGGAAACGGUAGCUAAUCCCGAAUACCAUGGGAGGUGCCAGGAGGGGAUUAGCUAGUAGGUGGGGUAAAGGCUCACCUAGGCGACGAUCCCUAGCUGGUCUGAGAGGAUGACCAGCCACACUGGAACUGAGACACGGUCCAGACUCCUACGGGAGGCAGCAGUGGGGAAUAUUGGACAAUGGGCGAAAGCCUGAUCCAGCCAUGCCGCGUGUGUGAAGAAGGUCUUCGGAUUGUAAAGCACUUUAAGUUGGGAGGCGUUACCAACAGAAUAAGCACCGGCUAACUUCGUGCCAGCAGCCGCGGUAAUAC